This 65-nucleotide transfer RNA is filed under the name Nabis apicalis. Its description in RNAcentral is "tRNA-Asp". It matches the Rfam family "tRNA". Rfam says of the family: Transfer RNA (tRNA) molecules are approximately 80 nucleotides in length. Their secondary structure includes four short double-helical elements and three loops (D, anti-codon, and T loops). Lineage: Eukaryota; Metazoa; Arthropoda; Insecta; Hemiptera; Nabidae. The record is from RNAcentral.
GAAAAGUUAGUUUAAUAAUAAAACAUUAAUUUGUCAAAUUAAAAAUAUAAAUAUUAUACUUUUCU